GACGAACGCUGGCGGCGUGCUUAACACAUGCAAGUCGAACGAGAAAGCCCUUCGGGGUAAGUACAGUGGCGAACGGGUGAGUAACACGUGGGCAACCUGCCCCAGAGAGCGGGACAACCCGGGGAAACCCGGGCUAAUACCGCAUGAUGCGUCUCCACUCAAGUGGAGCCGCCAAAUGGUAGCUUCGGCCUCCGCCCUGGGAUGGGCCCGCGCAGGAUGAGCUAGUUGGUUGGGGUAACGGCCCACCAAGGCGACGAUCCGUAGCUGGUCUGAGAGGACGAUCAGCCACACUGAGACUGAGACACGGCCCAGACUCCUACGGGAGGCAGCAGUGGGGAAUCUUGCGCAAUGGGCGAAAGCCUGACGCAGCAACGCCGCGUGGGGGAAGAAGGCCUUCGGGUUGUAAACCUCUUUCAGUAGGGACGAAGCUUCCGGGGUUAAUAGCCUACGGGGUGACGGUACCUACAGAAGAAGCCCCGGCUAACUACGUGCCAGCCGCCGCAGUAA
This 507-nucleotide ribosomal RNA is filed under the name uncultured bacterium. RNAcentral describes it as "partial 16S ribosomal RNA". It matches the Rfam family "Bacterial small subunit ribosomal RNA", at positions 28 to 523 of the family's 1533-position model. The record is from RNAcentral.